This 453-nucleotide long non-coding RNA is filed under the name Rattus norvegicus (Norway rat). RNAcentral's name for it is "long non-coding RNA NONRATT014418". Lineage: Eukaryota; Metazoa; Chordata; Mammalia; Rodentia; Muridae. The record is from RNAcentral.
GUGGGUUUUAAUCUCUGGGCAAAUGAGGUGUGCACCCAUAACUCACAGGCAAUGUGAUCACCUGACAUCAUGCAGCUGUAACUCACAGGCGAUGUCAUCACCUGGCAUCCUGCACCUGUAACUCACAGGUGAUGUCAUCGCCUGGCACCCUGCACCUGUAACUCACAGGUGAUAUUAUCACCUGGCAUCCUGCACCUGUAACUCACAGGUGAUGUCAUCACCUGGCAUCCUGCACUUGUAACUCACAGGUGAUGUCAUCGCCUGGCAUCCUGCACCUGUAACUCACAGGUGAUGUCAUCACCUGGCAUUACACACUGGGGAUGAAUACUUGAAACAGUGUACUGCAGUGGAUGGAGGCAGGUUUUCUUUGUAACUGGGGACUCUGGGUUUGCAUUCCAAUCAUUUUGCCGACAGCUAGGUAGCAACAUUUAUAUUUAAAAACAAAACAAAAAA